RNAcentral lists this ribosomal RNA (494 nucleotides) under uncultured bacterium. Its description in RNAcentral is "partial 16S ribosomal RNA". It matches the Rfam family "Bacterial small subunit ribosomal RNA", at positions 28 to 507 of the family's 1533-position model. The record is from RNAcentral.
GACGAACGCUGGCGGCGUGCUUAACACAUGCAAGUCGAACGGUGAAGCGCCUUCCUUUUUGGUGGGUGUGGAUGAGUGGCGAACGGGUGAGUAACACGUGAGUAACCUGCCCCCUUCUUCUGGAUAACCGCAUGAAAGUGUGGCUAAUACGGGAUAUUCUGGGUCUGUCGCAUGAUGGGUCUGGGAAAGAUAUUGUUUCGGUGGGGGAUGGGCUCGCGGCCUAUCAGCUUGUUGGUGGGGUGAUGGCCUACCAAGGCGGUGACGGGUAGCCGGCCUGAGAGGGUAGACGGUCACACUGGGACAGAGACCCGGCCCAGACUCCGACGGGAGGCAGCAGUGGGGAAUAUGGCACAAUGGGCGCAAGCCUGAUGCAGCGACGCCGCGUGAGGGAUGGAGGCCUUCGGGUUGUGAACCUCUUUCGCCAGUGAAGCAGGCCUGCCUCGUUUGUGGGUGGGUUGACGGUAGCUGGAUAAGAAGCGCCGGCUAACUACGUG